Molecule: ribosomal RNA, 468 nt
Filed under: uncultured bacterium
Lineage: Bacteria
Description: partial 16S ribosomal RNA
Rfam family: Bacterial small subunit ribosomal RNA
Source: RNAcentral
GACGAACGCUGGCGGCGUGCUUAACACAUGCAAGUCGAACGGAAAGGCCCUGCUUUUGUGGGGUGCUCGAGUGGCGAACGGGUGAGUAACACGUGAGUAACCUGCCCUUGACUUUGGGAUAACUUCAGGAAACUGGGGCUAAUACCGGAUAGGAGCUCCUGCUGCAUGGUGGGGGUUGGAAAGUUUCGGCGGUUGGGGAUGGACUCGCGGCUUAUCAGCUUGUUGGUGGGGUAGUGGCUUACCAAGGCUUUGAAGGGUAGCCGGCCUGAGAGGGUGACCGGCCACAUUGGGACUGAGAUACGCCCCAGACUCCUACGGGAGGCAGCAGUGGGGAAUAUUGCGCAAUGGGCGGAAGCCUGAUGCAGCAACGCCGCGUGCGGGAUGACGGCCUUCGGGUUAUAAACCGCUUUCGCCUGUGACGAAGCGUGAGUGACGGUAAUGGGUAAAGAAGCACCGGCUAACUACGUG